Molecule: ribosomal RNA, 1500 nt
Filed under: metagenome
Description: bacterial SSU rRNA
Rfam family: Bacterial small subunit ribosomal RNA
Source: RNAcentral
AGAGUUUGAUCAUGGCUCAGAUUGAACGCUGGCGGCAGGCCUAACACAUGCAAGUCGAACGGUAACAGGAAGCAGCUUGCUGCUUCGCUGACGAGUGGCGGACGGGUGAGUAAUGUCUGGGAAGCUGCCUGAUGGAGGGGGAUAACUACUGGAAACGGUAGCUAAUACCGCAUAAUGUCGCAAGACCAAAGAGGGGGACCUUCGGGCCUCUUGCCAUCGGAUGUGCCCAGAUGGGAUUAGCUUGUUGGUGGGGUAACGGCUCACCAAGGCGACGAUCCCUAGCUGGUCUGAGAGGAUGACCAGCCACACUGGAACUGAGACACGGUCCAGACUCCUACGGGAGGCAGCAGUGGGGAAUAUUGCACAAUGGGCGCAAGCCUGAUGCAGCCAUGCCGCGUGUAUGAAGAAGGCCUUCGGGUUGUAAAGUACUUUCAGCGGGGAGGAAGGGAGUAAAGUUAAUACCUUUGCUCAUUGACGUUACCCGCAGAAGAAGCACCGGCUAACUCCGUGCCAGCAGCCGCGGUAAUACGGAGGGUGCAAGCGAUAAUCGGAAUUACUGGGCGUAAAGCGCACGCAGGCGGUUUGUUAAGUCAGAUGUGAAAUCCCCGGGCUCAACCUGGGAACUGCAUCUGAUACUGGCAAGCUUGAGUCUCGUAGAGGGGGGUAGAAUUCCAGGUGUAGCGGUGAAAUGCGUAGAGAUCUGGAGGAAUACCGGUGGCGAAGGCGGCCCCCUGGACGAAGACUGACGCUCAGGUGCGAAAGCGUGGGGAGCAAACAGGAUUAGAUACCCUGGUAGUCCACGCCGUAAACGAUGUCGACUUGGAGGUUGUGCCCUUGAGGCGUGGCUUCCGGAGCUAACGCGUUAAGUCGACCGCCUGGGGAGUACGGACGCAAGGUUAAAACUCAAAUGAAUUGACGGGGGCCCGCACAAGCGGUGGAGCAUGUGGUUUAAUUCGAUGCAACGCGAAGAACCUUACCUGGUCUUGACAUCCACGGAAGUUUUCAGAGAUGAGAAUGUGCCUUCGGGAACCGUGAGACAGGUGCUGCAUGGCUGUCGUCAGCUCGUGUUGUGAAAUGUUGGGUUAAGUCCCGCAACGAGCGCAACCCUUAUCCUUUGUUGCCAGCGGUCCGGCCGGGAACUCAAAGGAGACUGCCAGUGAUAAACUGGAGGAAGGUGGGGAUGACGUCAAGUCAUCAUGGCCCUUACGACCAGGGCUACACACGUGCUACAAUGGCGCAUACAAAGAGAAGCGACCUCGCGAGAGCAAGCGGACCUCAUAAAGUGCGUCGUAGUCCGGAUUGGAGUCUGCAACUCGACUCCAUGAAGUCGGAAUCGCUAGUAAUCGUGGAUCAGAAUGCCACGGUGAAUACGUUCCCGGGCCUUGUACACACCGCCCGUCACACCAUGGGAGUGGGUUGCAAAAGAAGUAGGUAGCUUAACCUUCGGGAGGGCGCUUACCACUUUGUGAUUCAUGACUGGGGUGAAGUCGUAACAAGGUA